CAGAAUGGGGAGGUGGAGUGCUCCUUCAUGCCCUGCCCUGAGCUGGCCUGCCCCCGAGAAGAGUGGCGGCUGGGCCCUGGGCAGUGUUGCUUCACCUGCCAGGAGCCCACACCCUCGACAGGCUGCUCUCUUGACGACAACGGGGUUGAGUUUCCGAUUGGACAGAUCUGGUCGCCUGGUGACCCCUGUGAGUUAUGCAUCUGCCAGGUGAAUGACAACCUGCUCGCCUUCAGCUGCUUUACCUGGCUGCCCCGCCUCACCCAGAGGAGACAAGCGUCCUGGCCCCUCCAGAGGCUGGCCUCAGGCUGGCCGCAGUCUCCCUCCGGUGCUGUCAAGUUCCACUUUCACAAAAAGGGUUGGACCGAGUUUAUCCUGCUCUCAGUAGAUGUGUGAGGACGAUGGUGCUUGGCAGUUGGCCUUAAGAAGUGUGUAUUGUUGGCCAGGUGCGGUGGCUCACGCCUGUAAUCCCAGCACUUUGGGAGGCCGAGGUGGGUGGAUCACAAGGUCAGGAGAUCGAGACCAUCCUGGCUAACAUGGUGAAACCCUGUCUCUACUAAAAAUACAAAAUAUUAGCCGAGCGUGGUGGUAGGUGCCUGUGGUCCCAGCUACUUGGGAGGCUGAGGCAGGAGAAUCGUUUGAACCCGGGAGGAGGAGGUUGCAGUGAGCUGAGAUCACGCCACUGCACCCCAGCCUGGCGACAAAGCAAGAAGGAGUCUC
Molecule: long non-coding RNA, 717 nt
Filed under: Homo sapiens (human)
Lineage: Eukaryota; Metazoa; Chordata; Mammalia; Primates; Hominidae
Description: non-protein coding lnc-DDB1-2:1
Source: RNAcentral